UCUGUCUUCAGGUUACAGUGGAGGCGGUCGCAGCAGCAAUGACGAGGGGUGUGCUUGAUCCCCUCUACACUCUCCUGGAGAGUCCUGCCUGCCCUCCAGGUGAUGUCCUCUUACAGGUGCAGCAGGAUCAUGUGGAGAGCGACCAGAGUCCCCCGUCUGGCCCCAAUGCAAACCAUAUUUUAGCAGCUGCUGACAUGACUGGUAUAAGAACAAAUGGUGAAGAUUCGUACAGAAGUGGGGAAAAUUAUUCUUCUCAAAGGGCUUCUAAACCCAGAGUUUGAAAGAAAACAAAGACAGAUGCGCCUAGCCAAAGCAAGGAUGCUGAGGCUUUCAUACUCCUGCCCCUAUGAAGUCCAUCUAACGAUAGCAUCUGCUGGAAUUACAUCCUGACAUACAAAAUAUCUCCAGGUGGAACCCGGAACUAGAGAACAUUUGCAAUCUGUAUAACUCCUGGUGACCUCAAAGGAGUCAGGUAGAAUGAAUGGAUGCUACUUUUCAAAUGCAAUGUGAUUCUUAUUCAUUUCUAAAUUAGCCCAUGGAAUAUAUGCAUUAAUAAAUCUCACAGCCACGUAGUGCUCUAGCCUCUUGGUUACAUAUUGCUAAUUGUUUAUAUAACCACAUAUUUUAUAGUACAGCUAAAUAAUUGAUGUCCAGUAAUUUCUUUAAAGGAGAAAAUCAGCAAAAAUUAACUACGAUAGUUCUGCAAGCUUCUUUUCUAUUUUUUAAGUUCAUUUUUAAUUUUUUUAUUAAAUUUUUUUUUCAGUUCUGUAAACUCCUUAUGGUCAAAGCUAAGAUCUGCUUUGAGUGUUUAUUAAUUCUUAAAAGCUGCUUGUUUUCACCUAAGAAUGAGUACAAUUUUUUUUCCCAUUUCAUAGCAGGGAGCAAGACCUAGAAAUUUCUUAGGUACUGUUUUAAUCGAUCAUAGGCCUACCUUGCUCCCGCUGUGAGUGAUUCCUCCUGGACUCCCAGAUGGUCUUCCUAUCUCCUGCCUGCUUAGAGACCCCAUCCUGGCCUCUGGUCUUACCUUCAUACCACUUGACACUUUAUGGACUAGCCAUUCUGACCUUCUUUGUGUCCUCUUGUUAGAUCCAUUGUCCUCUCUCAGGUCUCACUCAGGGUCCAUUUUGUAUUUGUGAAUGCUGCACAUCUUGGGAAUAGAAAUGCUUUAUGAUCUCAGUUGGACUGGUCAUAGAAACACUAAUGCAAUCACAUCAACAAAUGACCAAAAAGAAACUCAUAGCUGACUUGCUCUGCCACAUAGAGCCUGUGUCCAUAGAGAAGGAGACAAUUGAAGAAGAGUUCAACGCCUAGAAGGUGAAGGUGUCUCCUGUGGCUCAGAGUGGGGGCUCUGGAGCAUACCUGAGGGGCCUUAAAUCCCAGCUCCAUCACCUUGCUUAUAACCUUGGGCAAAUUACUUAGGUAACUUUGACUGCAGAGAUAAACAUGAAUAGCCAAACUCACAAGGUUGUCAUGGGCAUUAAAUGAGAUCAUCCCUGUAAAUUGCUUAGAGUAUAUGUAGUCUAUAGUAUACACUCAAUAAAUGUACAUCUCUGGUGUAUCAUUACAUUAAUAUUAUUAUUACAUAUUGCUUUUCUUUCUCUUUGAUAGCAGACCUUAAUGAGAUAUCUAUCAGCCAUGUAAAUCCAUUCAUUCAUUCAUCAAAGGUUUAUUAGGCGUCUACUGUGUGCCAGACACUCUCUUCUAGGUGACAGAGAAACACCAAUAAACAAAACAGAGAUGUCUGGGAUGCCUGGGUUGCUCAGUGGUUGAGUGUCUUCCUUCACACCCAGGGCGUGAUCCCUAGUGUCAGG
This is a long non-coding RNA of Canis lupus familiaris (dog), 1811 nucleotides long. RefSeq lists it as uncharacterized. The record is from RefSeq and is a predicted model, not a curated record. NCBI's taxonomy places the organism in Eukaryota, Metazoa, Chordata, Mammalia, Carnivora, Canidae. The transcript is spliced from 3 exons.